GAUGAACGCUGGCGGCGUGCCUAAUACAUGCAAGUCGAGCGAACGGACGAGAAGCUUGCUUCUCUGAUGUUAGCGGCGGACGGGUGAGUAAAACGUGGAUAACCUACCUAUAAGACUGGGAUAACUUCGGGAAACCGGAGCUAAUACCGGAUAAUAUUUUGAACCGCAUGGUUCAAAAGUGAAAGACGGUCUUGCUGUCACUUAUAGAUGGAUCCGCGCUGCAUUAGCUAGUUGGUAAGGUAACGGCUUACCAAGGCAACGAUGCAUAGCCGACCUGAGAGGGUGAUCGGCCACACUGGAACUGAGACACGGUCCAGACUCCUACGGGAGGCAGCAGUAGGGAAUCUUGCGCAAUGGGCGAAAGCCUGACGGAGCAACGCCGCGUGAGUGAUGAAGGUCUUCGGAUCGUAAAACUCUGUUAUUAGGGAAGAACAUAUGUGUAAGUAACUGUGCACAUCUUGACGGUACCUAAUCAGAAAGCCACGGCUAACUACGUG
RNAcentral lists this ribosomal RNA (497 nucleotides) under uncultured bacterium. RNAcentral describes it as "partial 16S ribosomal RNA". It matches the Rfam family "Bacterial small subunit ribosomal RNA", at positions 28 to 507 of the family's 1533-position model. The record is from RNAcentral.